AGCCCACCAGCUAGCUCACCCCCUAAACAUAACAAUCAACUAUUAAUUAACCCCUAAAGACCUAGAAUACCCAAGGCCAAACCAUUUUUCCCCCUAAGUAUGGGAGACAGAAAAG
Molecule: ribosomal RNA, 115 nt
Filed under: Cheilodipterus quinquelineatus (five-lined cardinalfish)
Lineage: Eukaryota; Metazoa; Chordata; Actinopteri; Kurtiformes; Apogonidae
Description: partial 16S ribosomal RNA
Source: RNAcentral